CAGGGCCGGAUGGGCGGCCAGGAUGCCCCCGCCCCCUCUCCCAAGAGAGUGUGAGCGCGCGAGUGCGUGUUCCCGGAGACUCUCAGAGACGCAGCCUGUAGUGAUCCAAUUAAUGUUCUUCGCUGGCUAGACCACAUCUGAAGUGCUGUAAGAAGAGGUCAUUCAAGUUGGAAUUAUUUCAGGGAAGAGCAAAAUGAUGACGAGAACUCAAAAGCAUGACACGUGAAGAAAUAUUGAUCGAACCUGUGAAAAUUUGUCUAAAAAUCAGAAACUACUCAACUAUCUCCAAAUAUGAACAGACCCAUUAUGUCAAAUAACUUUUGUUUCGUGUCAUACAAACUACAGGGAAACAGGUUCCAGAUCCUGAAAAGAAGAUCUCUUUCUAGCACUAGCCAAAGACUACUUCCACACACAGGAUUUGACUUCAAGGAGAUUCUGAAUGCACACUUACUAGAGACUUGGUACAGAGAACCCAGACAUCAAGAAGUAUUAAUUGAUGGCUGUGUGAAGUUAUUUCCAGCUUUGAGUUUCCAGCAGGAUAUGGUCCUGGCCUUCAAAGAGUUUAUAAGUUAGUUUAUAGAAAAACAAAUGCAUAAAAAGUAAAUAAGGCAAGGCCACAUGAUAAUAAGUGGUAACUUAUUGUGGUAACAGUAAGUGCUAGAAAUUCACAUGAAUAGUUGUUCCCAUCACAGUUCAGAGGCUAAAGGGAGAAUAAAGAAAUUGAAAAUCUACUCCCUAUAACUGCCAUAUUCAGUAGGGUAGCCUCUAGCCAAAUGUGGCUAUUGACUCUUGAAAUAAAGCUUGUCCAAUUUGAAAAUAAGUUCAGAAUACAUACCAGAUUGAAAGACUAAGAAAACAAAUGUAAAAUAUUGUAAUCUCAUGUUGAUUAUGUGUUGGAAUAAUAUUAGGUAUAUGCUGGGUUAAAUAAAUUAUGUUAAAAAUAA
Otolemur garnettii (small-eared galago) is the source of this 944-nucleotide long non-coding RNA. RefSeq lists it as uncharacterized. The record is from RefSeq and is a predicted model, not a curated record. The transcript is spliced from 2 exons. NCBI's taxonomy places the organism in Eukaryota, Metazoa, Chordata, Mammalia, Primates, Galagidae.